UAUAAUUUAUCGAAAUAUAUUGAAAGAUCGAUAUCAUUGUUAUGACAUAUUUUGCCAAAAAUCGAUAAAUAAUUGUAUCGAGUCGUUUUUGUCCUUAUCGAUUUUUGAAGCAGUGUAACGAAUGUUUUAUAAACAACAAGUAGCAUAACGCUGUUUACGCGGUACGGAAAAUCUUCAUUAUUCUGCGAUCAAAUCACAUCAGCUAUCAUAUGGCGAAUCAAAGUUUCGAGAAUGAAGUUGUGGAAGAGGUAUUGGAGGAAUCAAACUGUAAUCAGCCAGUAGUAGUGACACUUCCGAUUGAUGUGUACAACGAGCAAGCGGAUGCAAUCAAAGCGCUACAAGCUGACAUAAGUUUCAUGAAAGAACAGAUCAACAUUCUAAUACAACGAGGAGAAAGGUCGGAAUCGUUAUCGGCUGAAACUCACGAAUAUUUUGAACCGAUUAAAAAGCUUAUGCUCUGAAAUCAAUUAAUGAAUUGCUCGAAUUCGAAGAAUUACUGGGAAACAAAAAUAACGAGAAAAAAUUUAAAAAGUUCCUGGCUUCAUUUGUGCUCUUUAAAAAACCUCUAAAAGAAAUGACAAUGACAUUUAUUGAAAAGGUUUAUCAUCUAGAGCUGCAGACUAAGGUGAAUUACUCAGGUGCUGGGGCUAAACAGGCCCUUAAAAGUUUGUGCUCAACGCAAGUAUUAUUAAAAUCUCUCAUCGAUCAUUCAUUAUAUGACAGCACGGAUGAUCCACCAGCCCUGGCGUGCGCCGAAUUUCGGUAUCAAAUGCAGCACGCAUGUGAUAGGAUCAGGAGUAGUGAGCGCAAGCAGUGUACAACAAACCGAAAGCGAACAACUAGAAAAGCGCUCUCGUCUCUAGAAAAAGAGCCUCGCGAUCCUAACAAUGAAGG
Wyeomyia smithii (pitcher-plant mosquito) is the source of this 894-nucleotide long non-coding RNA. RefSeq lists it as uncharacterized. NCBI's taxonomy places the organism in Eukaryota, Metazoa, Arthropoda, Insecta, Diptera, Culicidae. The transcript has 3 exons. The record is from RefSeq and is a predicted model, not a curated record.